Molecule: ribosomal RNA, 253 nt
Filed under: uncultured bacterium
Lineage: Bacteria
Description: partial 16S ribosomal RNA
Rfam family: Bacterial small subunit ribosomal RNA
Source: RNAcentral
UACAGAGGGGGCAAGCGUUAUUCGGAAUUAUUGGGCGUAAAGGGCAGGUAGGUGGUCUCGUUUGUCAGGGGUGAAAGCCUUGGGCUUAACUCAAGAAGUGCCCCUGAAACGGCGAGACUAGAGUGCUGGAGAGGUCGGUGGAAUUCCUGGUGUAGCGGUGAAAUGCGCAGAUAUCAGGAGGAACACCGGUGGCGAAGGCGGGUCUCUGGGCCGUAACUGACGCUGAGGAGCGAAAGCGUGGGGAGCGAACAGG